This 4224-nucleotide long non-coding RNA is filed under the name Salmo salar (Atlantic salmon). RNAcentral's name for it is "lncRNA (ENSSSAG00000093367.1)". The record is from RNAcentral. Lineage: Eukaryota; Metazoa; Chordata; Actinopteri; Salmoniformes; Salmonidae.
CUGCUAGGAAGGGAUGCUCUAUGCAAAAUGGGAAUGCAAAUUAAAUGUUCUCCCGAGGGGGUAUUAAUAGAAAGAAUAGGACUACAAUUACCAGUGAUAGCUACAGGAGAAACAGCUAACGUAUAUUGGUCGGGAGGCAUUGAGGCAGAUAUAGACAGAACUGUAAGCAGAUGGGGCAGAUUCAUUCGAGCCCAAAAUGCUUAAAGCAGCGAGAGCAAAAUCUGAAUAUCACUGCACAAUGCAAUAUGACCCUCAUCAGGAUCCCGUGUUAGAGCAACUAUGGACUAUGGGGGCAAAUGCUAGGAAAGCACCAAUGAUGUCUCAGUAUGUCAUCAUUGGAGAAACAGGGAGCGGCCAUGGAUGUGAUGGACGGAGACGGAUCUGAAUUUGUGCAAAAAAUGGUUCAACGUCUCCGACUCUGUCCCUCACAUCACAUCGCUGGUAAAUCCGGAGUUCACAUCAAGGGAUCUAGGAACCUAUGAUGAAGAAAGCUAAGAGAAAGAGAUGGGAUGAAACAGACAAUCCGUUGAUUUUUCCCAUUCAGAAGAUAAGGCAUUUAUCAAGAUAAUAAACACUACAAUGAUGACUGGUGUUCCUAGGGAAAUAGAGGUCAGUGCAGGCCAACAGGUAGUGUUGGGUGAAGGAAUGGGAUUUGAUCAGUGAACUUAGAGAAGAAAUGGAAAACAUCAUACCACCAGAGGUAUGGUCACAACAUGAUACAGAUGUUGGGCUAGUAAAAUCAGCAAGUCCUGUGAACAUCAAAGUUAAACCCGGAUGCUAAACCCCCAUGGAUCAGCCCAGUAUCCUAUGAAGCCUGAAGACGAAGAAGGGAUAUUGCACAGGAUUGCCCUGCGGAAGGUCCAAACCCUCACACACUGUUGACUAAUGUUCCCCAUGAUGCCAAAUACUUUACCGUGAUUGACUUGUGUGGAGCAUUUUUUUAGUGUACCCCUGGCGGAAGAUUGCAGGUAUUUAUUUGCAUUUAGAUUGUUAGGGUUUGACCAACUAAAAAAAACAACACAUAGAAUAAAAUAUAAUUUAAGAUUCAUACGAAUACUCCUUCUAAAAAUUCUAGAGUGGGAAAAGGAGCAGAAUAACUACGAUAGUAAUUUUAACAAACACCUUAAAGGAGGUGCAGGAAUUAACGGGAGAUGAGCGAUACAUGGAGUUAAAUGAUAUAAAAUAAAUAUUUAUUUCGGUCCAAGGUGGAGAAGGAAGUAUGAAUUUGAUGGAAGUUUGGAUGGGUUAAAGUUGGGACUAAUGGUAAGAAAGAUGCAUAAGGUAUGUGGAGCCGAAAUGAGAGAUACAGUUGUAACAUUGGUUUUAAUCUUGCGAUAGAGGAAAGGCAGAACGCUGUUAGAAAAGAGGUAAUAUUUUUUCCUAUGAGUAUGUGGCUGGAAGCGAUUCUGGUCUGAAUAAUGGAAUUGUAAAAGUUCUGUGAUAAAUUCUGGUUAUUGAGUCGUGGUAUUGAUUGUUUAGUAACACCGGUGAAUUGAACAUUGCAUGGAAAAAUAUCAAGUCAUUAAAGUGAAUUGCAGGUGGAGUUAAUUUUAUUUUUUACAGGGACGGUGCACAUUAAACACAGUUGUGUAUAAUGGCAGGGUAUUCCUAGCAAACAGAAUGGGCCGGUUUGCAGACAAACUGAAGGCGUUUUUAAGCAAUCUUGGGUCAAAUUAGUCAAAUAGUACGUUAAAAUAUGGGGUUUCAUAGAUUGGAAGUAAAAUAUUUUAUCCAAGGGUAGUGUAAAUUUAAGUAGCUAUGGAAUAAGACAGCAGACGGAGAAGUCCUCCCCUGCACUGCUGAGACCUUGAUGGGUUGGAAGUAGCAGGAGGAGAGCAUAAGCAAGGAAGAGAAGAUAAAAGAGACACAGAAGAAUUAGAUAACGGUUAGUGAGUGGAGACCAGCAUAGUUAAAUUAUAAACAGGUGAGGACAGAAAUAAUACUGGGACAGACAGAAAAGACAUAAUAAGAAUAGAAGAUAGGAAGAGAAUUUAGUUUGGAUCGCUUAACUUUAGGAUAUUAAUUCAUGGAGAGACUAUCGGCUCCAUAGGCAUGUAUUUUAGUUUUGAUUUUAAGUUAUGUUUUGGUAAAAUUCGCUAGGAAAAUAUAUGAUAAUUUUGUUGGAAGUAGUUAAAUCUUAAAGCAGAUAAGACACUUGACAGAGAAUUGUUACAGGGUAGCUAAGGAUGAAUGCCCCAGGGAGAAUUGGACAUGUGGAAAAUGAAAGGGGUGUCACGCUUGUCGUCGGUUAAAGAGGACCAAAACGCAGCAGAGAUUCAUGAAUGAAACCGGGGAUGCAGUAAAGAGGUUCUCUGACCAAUUAUCCACCACCUCCCUCAUGACCUGGUAAAAUAGACUGACUCUCGAUAUGUUACUGGCAAAAGAGGAUGGUGUAGGUAGAUUGAUUAGGUUCAUUGCUGCACGUACAUUCCUGAUAACACAGCUCAUGUUUGGGAAAUGGAAAAGUGUUGUUAUGGGCUGCUUUCACCUGUAUGAUUGUGUUUGUGUUGUGUGGUUGUUGUUUGGUCCCGUGUGCGAGAGGUCUCAUUUCCAGGGUUCUGGAGAGAUUGAUAACGGAGCAGAUGGGCAACCGGAAUGAUGCCUUUGAUGGAAGUGACCCCAGAGGACACUGAAUCCAGCUCUGGGCAAUGGUCCUUGGUUUGCUGUUGAGGAAGUGAUUGAAUAAAGCUUAUCCAAAAUGUUCUUAUAUGUGUUGAAUGUAGUGGCAGGUGGAUGUGAAGGGUUUUAAGUUCUGGGACAAAGAGUCUGUCCCACACAUGUUAGGUGUAGCCCCUGCCAUAAGAAGGUCCUCUUUUUAUACGUUUUUUAAAUAAUAUGUUCUGAAUUUAUCCUGUGUACUAUUUGUCUUUCCUGAUGUGAGGGUUUGAAGUUCCUGGGUGACUGGUAGUGAACCUAGUACAAGUGAGGUGUAGCCGGAAGGACUUGAGGGUUUUUUAAACUAAUCAUUUAAUCAUUAAAUCGAAAAUUUACAAUUGUGUUGAGUGACACCCUAGGGGGUGUCAAAAGGGGGAAUCUCAAAAUUUCCCUGAAAUUUUAAGAACUUAUGUAUUCACACCUAUCAGGUGUGAAAAGGGGGAUUGUUAGGGUUUGACCAACUAUUUGUUAGCAUAACCUAUAUAAAAUAACAGAGCAGCUAUGCUAUAAUAUGAAGUAUAUAAACUAUAGAUAAUUGAGUACUGCUAUAUGUUAAGAGGAAGUGGCUCAUGUGAUGGUGGGUCAUGUGGAAAGAAUACUGAUGCUUUAAAACAGGGUUUUGCAAGAGCUUUUUGCUGAACAACAGCAAUAACAGGAUAUGGGUGAAAUGUAUGUGCAUGGGGGUGUAAGGGUUUUAGAGAACUGUGCAUUGUGCAGUCACAAGAUGAGACAUCCGCCAGGAAGCUGGAGUGCGUCUAGAGGUUGGGACCAACCUGCACGCCAACGAUAGGCUGGAAUAAGUCUAAACCAUAUUCUAGCCUCUACUAUGACAGGCCCUCAGGGAGAGGGAACUAAGUCUGUCCAGUAUUUAAGGAAGAACUUGUAAUGUCAUACCAGAUCUCUGUCUGCCCUGCGUGGUGUUACAGUGAGCCCGUAUAUACGAACCACAUAUUUACCAUUCAAGUGUUUGCAUUAAUUAAAGUACAAAGAAAUCAGAAGUUACUAUGUGCUGACUAUUUUGUUCUGAUACCAGAUUCGAAUUGACGCGACCUGACAGGAUAAAAAAAAAAUACAAAAUAUCUAUAUAUUCAUAACGUAAAAUAAAGAAAUAGUGAAAUACAGGCUAUCGCGUCUAUGGUUGUUGCAAAUGCUUGUGUGUCGCCUACUGGUUAAAUUCGUGUCUUUUCGCACGAUUUGAACCACACAAAAAUGCACAAAAACGCACGAAAUCUGCUGAAAUACAUUUUGUACAUAUAUGCGCGAAUUGAAUGUGAGGUUGGCCUGAAAGGAAUCAGAGAUGGGCGUUAUUGGGCGUGAACAAGCAAAGAACUAGGGAUGAAAGAUAAUGGUGACAGAAGGACUGAGGGAAGUAACUUUUACAUAUGGAAUGUACUCCCAUACUGUAUGUAUAUAAAAGCAGAGCCUAUGCUCAGGAAGGGCAGUUGAUCCGCGGACUGGCUCGGCUUUGCUACUCUGUAUUAAAGUCUAUAUUGAAAUCACAAAGUUCUUGCAAGAGUAUUAUAUUCUUAAGACAAUUUUCCACGACAUCAUCCCUACUGCCUUUGAUCU